Molecule: long non-coding RNA, 1334 nt
Filed under: Neodiprion pinetum (white pine sawfly)
Lineage: Eukaryota; Metazoa; Arthropoda; Insecta; Hymenoptera; Diprionidae
Description: uncharacterized LOC124216005
Source: RNAcentral
CCAUGCCUGAAAAAUGAAGAUAACGAUGAACCGCAAGAUGUUGAGUGAUUUGUUCAGACAAUGGAUAGAUCGGAUGUGUAGCUCGUAGCAAAUGACGACGACGAUAGCGAUUCCAACCGAGAUGUCAGUGAGUUGGGAUUAUCGAAGAAUGGUUCCACCGAUGCUUAUGGAUUUUUAACAUGUUUCCACAGCGCGCAAACGUCGAUGAUCGUAUCCAGUUUUCAUCACCGACUUUUUAUCAAUUGAAAAUUAAUAACCGUCGUACCGGGAGACGCGUCGUACGACAUCGUUUAGUUAAAAGUGAUACCGUAUCACGCGGUGCGUCUGUGAGUCGGUUUGUCACGUGGUCUCACUAAUGGAAAUUAGACACUUGACCGUCCCGAGUGUCGGACAUAUCGAUCAAAGCUUCGGGGCACUUUAUGCAUCACGUGAGUGGCCGUGCAGUUAAUUCGUCGUUCGAAAUGAGGUUGAGCUUUUUUCGUCAGUUGCACUUGCGGACAGAAAAGGAAGGGGUGGAACGGGGGAGGUGGGAAUGUCGGAAAAAAACUGCGAGAUAUGACCAUGAAGAACCUUUCUCAACGAUAAGGUGAAUUCGGACGAAGAAGGAAACUGAGAGGGCGUUGGAUUACCGAGCAUCGGUGCGGCGGUCAACCGACCCUUGUCCUCGGUCCUCAUUUUGAAGUCGCAUGAAGCCGCAGGGUUGAAUGGCCGUCAGGUGCGGAUGAGGGUCUUUGAAUAACACAAAGAGGACUAAAUUAUUGGCGUCUACAUUCCGCCGAAUGUUGUUGUGCCGAAGAAUAAGCCAACUGCCAAUUGCUUACAGCUGCGUUUGACGUUCAAACCUUUCCUCGAUUUACCUGUUUGAUCAACUGCAUCUUGGACUUCACUCUCUAACGGCGGCUUUACACCUGUACAAACAGAAAAAACUCAUCAGUAUUAUACAGUACUGUAACCUUCUGAACCAAUGUCGCGACCUCUUUGAAUUUUCGACUCGCAAUUAAAGAAAACCCCGAUUCAUGGAGCCGAAGAAUAAACUGAAACACCACGAUUUUGACCGCUGUUUCAAGCAGAUGGAAGUUAAUGCGUAACAAAGGAGGAUUUUUUUGCGAAAAAGGAUUCGUCGGUAAAAAUUUGGAGUGACCUGUCAGUUUUGUAAACCACAAAGCGGCUCCCGUCAGAUUUUACGACAGUUUAAAUUUUGCUACGUUAAAAUGACCUUUCGUUCGUUGUUGAUUUUCGACUUCCAUAACAGCUUUGUUAACGUUAAUAAUUGUACGUUGUAAAAACGUAGAUGCAAAAUCGACGCCGAAGAGAAUUCACCUCCGUCCGACGCU